AUAUAGUCAUUUUAUGAACUUUGCGAUUUUUUUCAAAAAAAUUUGUGGCGCGCUAGGCUGUUACCAUUACCGUUACAUUACGGCCAUUACAUGCUUGUUUUCAUUACCCGCAACCACAACCGUGAUUUGAAGCCAUAGUUUGAAACUAAUCCUAGUUAGUCAUUCAUUUUAUUUCUUAAUGAAUUCCUUUUAGAAUUCAUUUGCAAAUGAAUUUUCUUGUUUGAAAUGCCAUAAGGUAAUGUGAAAAACUCACAAAUACAAAGAAGAAUUGAAAAUUGCUUUGUUCUUGAAAUGCCUUUUGGGAGUGAUAGGGAGAGUAUAUGUUACCUAUGAAAAAGGCAAAAGGUGGAAAAUAAGGGCAUUGUUUUCCAUAAAAUUUGGUGCUUUAUUUUUGCGGAAUUCAUUCGAAAUUUCUUCUAUUUUGAUGGAAUUUGCUUUUAGAUAUGUAGUUUUAUGAAAUUGAAAUGGUAGAAUUCAAAUGAAUAAAUUUAAUGGUUCCAAACAUAAAACUAUGGUAUUGCAAAUAACUUCCUCAAAACCAUGUGUAGGUUUAUCUGUUCCAAGCAUAGUGUAACUCAUAAUCUUAAAUUGGUUUGCCGGUAUGGAGACCAUAGAUGUUAUGGAUAACGAUUAGGAAACAAGAACCAAUUUAGAUGUCUUUAGAUUUUAGCUUAAGUGGUAAAAAAAGGGAUUUCAGUGAUGUUGGUGUAAGGUGUGAAUCUUACAAGAAACAGGUAAAAAGAAGCAAAACACUUGAUAAUGCAGUUUUUGUAGUAUUUCAAACUGAUAAAUCAUGAUGAUUUCGAAUUCAAAAGAAUUCAAAAUCCUUUUGUGAACUCAAACUUUUUAAGUUCAGGAUGAAUAUAACAAUACUGUGCUGAAUUCAGCUUAGUUGGUGCAUAGGCCAUUGAAAUUUCUUGAUCUCUCAUUUUUGUUAAUAAAAAUAGCAUGUAGUACCUUGAAUUCUUCUUUGAACAGCAAGACCAUUUAGUUUAGGUUCGGCAUAGCUUAUCAAUGGCGUAAAAAGGAACAAGAAAAAAGAGACAAAAAAAGAACAAGCUGGCACUAGAAAAAGAGGAAGGAAAAGGUGUAGUGAUCAUGGAUGGAAAGUGAAGAGUGGAAAGAGAUGUGAAAGCUCUUGUUCAAAAAUUCAACUGGUAUGUUGAUCUGAAUCUGACUAGUUUGCAUUAAGGCUUAAUUGAGUUGAGCAUGUUGAUUUACCGGAAAAAUAAGAAUAUGCAGCUUUUUUAGGCUAGGCUAGUAGUGUUAGUCUGACUGGCAAACGUUAGCAUGUGUUCCCACAAAAGUGUUUAUAACUUUGUGUUAGUCAGACUGGCAAACAUUAGCAUUUGUUCCCACAAAAAUAAGGAUGACUUCACGUGAUUUUGCUUCCCUGGCAUGUUGGUAUAUGAGAUGUCAGUGUUAUGAUUUUUCUACGGAUUUGGAUUAGAAUGAUAAGUCUACCAAAGAGCUUCCAACUUUCCAUUUUGAUACCCUUUGAGAUAAUUGCUUAGUCCUUAACAUAUGAUCAAUAGGAUGUUUGUUGAUAGUUAUGUUUUGGGAACAUUAUGGUGAAAGUAUGGAACCGAUUUGAAAAUGAUAAGAAUUUCUCUUUCCAUUUCUUUUUAAAAAAUUCUCUUCAAACCAGCAUUUUGUCCAAAUGAUCUGUAACAUCUAGAAAUUUAACUUGCAAAAUAAUUGCAAAGAUUCAAUUUGCAUCUAGUUGUUUUUUGUCAUUUACCGUAACAAAAGUUAAGUAAUAUAAUAUAUCAUGAAAUGUUGUGUUUGACGUGUACAUUCACACAAUAUGCUUGUAUGAAAAAAAGGUUAGUGAUGAUUUUACCACUUACAGAAACUAUACUGUUUGUUAUAAUGACUUCUUCACUGUGUUAUAUAACUGAAUUGGUUUAAUCAAGUUUACUGAGAAUACUCUUUAAUUGAAUGAAUUUUGUUUUAAAAUUAGUGGGUUUUCUUUAUAUUGAAUUUUGAAAGUGCAUUUUCUGAUUGUUAAAUUUGUGUAGUAUAGAGAUUUAUGUCUUGGUACAAAUUUUUAAGCUUGAUGGAAUGGAACUCUCUCUCGCUCUCUCUCCUUUUCUUUAAAAAUGCUUGGUUAAAUGUAUUCUAACUCUUUUCGACUUUUUAUUGCAGAUCUCAAGGUGAGCUGUUGUAUUUCAUUUUACUCGGUCAGACUUUAUUAGCAUGCCAUGGUGAACAGGAGUUUGUGACUUGAUGUCCCAAUACUGGUUUCAAAAUAAUUUACAUUUUUUUUUAUAUAGCUCCAGUUUACCUGUCUGGCAACUUAACUUCUUUACAAUAGUAUAUUGAUAUUAUACUUUCUAAUAUUGUUAUGAUAAUUUGUUUGGAUAUAUGCUAGAAUCAAAGUAAUUUUUUCAGCAAAGGUUUGGGGGCAUUUGCAAUUAGGAGGUGGACAUUUGAUCAAAUUUUCUUGUUUCUUAAUUUCUUGAAUAUGCUUGAUUUAGGUUUCACCUUCUUUUUAUGUGUGUGUUCCUUUUCUUCUUAACCUUUUUCUUGUAUGAUUUCCCUAAGCUGUUUGAUAAUUUUCUCUUUUGGUUUUAAAAAACCUUAUUUCAGAAUCAUCAUAAUGGCUUAGAAGGAUUAGACAUGUACACAUACCAAAUUUUUUUUUUAUUCAAAAGAAAUCCUUGUUUGCCAGUGCUUGGAUUCUUUGUGUUGAAACACAUGUUCUUUACUGUUUUGAACUAUUCUUAGUGUUGUGAAUAAUUAAAUAUUAAUCAUUUGGCACUUGAUGUUGGAUAGGGAGAAAAAGAAAAAUUGUGAUGACAUCAGAGUUUUUUUAGUUAUUUAGUUUCCUUUGAGUGUUAAAUUCAAAAGCUGCUGUUGCUUCAGGAAAAUCAGAGGUAUCCUCUGU
Molecule: unclassified non-coding RNA, 2890 nt
Filed under: Hevea brasiliensis (rubber tree)
Lineage: Eukaryota; Viridiplantae; Streptophyta; Magnoliopsida; Malpighiales; Euphorbiaceae
Source: RNAcentral